GGCCAGAGUGUCUGGAGUCUGUCUGAAACUGAUAAAAAUGGUGAUGGAGUUUAUCCAGAGUCUCGCUCAUAGUCAUUAGAAAAACAAAGGGAGACAGAGCGGAAUUUUAUAAUCAUCCAACACUGUAGUCAUUUCGUAGCUUAAAAACUAGAUUCUAUUGUAGCGCAUUUCAAAGUUUUAUUCCAUGUUUUUCACCAGACAGACAGUUCAUUAAUUCACAGGCAGGAGGAUUCAGCUACACUUAGUGAAGGUGAUUCCGGUGUUCUGGAGUUGUGCUCCCAUGCUGACGGAUAGCAAAUGGGAACCGAAAUGAUGUGUCUGCAGAGAUGAUACAGAUUCCUCCAUCAAAGCCAGGGAACUGUCGGGGUCCGGAUCCUAGCAGAGUGGACACUUUGAAAACGCCGGGAGGAUAGAGUUGAUAGGUUUUAAUGCUUUUAAUUCUAAAGCGUCUGAUCGUCCUGGCGUAAAUAAGUCUCCUUUCAGUCGACACAGUCUUGCUGUCCCUGACCCACCGUGCAUGUGGCGUCCUCCACAAACCUAAUUAAGGCUCUUUAGAUGGGAUCAAGUUAAUUGAAUGCUGCUCCCAUCUUGAGACCCUUUUUUGGAAAAAAUGGCUUCAUUGACAGUCAAAGCUUUAGCCUUGUAUCUCUCUCCAGUCAUCCCACCUUGAAGAUUUCAGUGAAUCGGAGAGACAAAACGGUUUUACGUGCUUGAGUAGACCCUUUUGUUCAACUAACGUAAAAAUAUUUAAUGUUGCUUAAAAUAUUUUCAGACGCAUCUAAUGUCGGUUGGCUUUUCAAAUGCAAGAAAGUGCCACAGGUGCAUUUUCACUUUCACAAAUACCAAGCGUUUUUUUCUCCGUGAAAACUCGCAUUUAGAGUGCCUCUCAGACAUGUCAGCCCACAUUAUAUUUCAUAAGCAUCACGCUUUUUUUCAAAUUAGUUUGUACCCAGAUGUCAGUAACUUUUUUUGAAAAGUAAAAAAACAAUGAAAAGAAAAGGCUUGUUGAUACUUUCUAUAAAUAUUAUUUCUGCACGUUUGAUCUGGAAUCAUAAGUUUUAGAUGAAUGGAUUCUCUUGUUUUUGUAUUUUAUGCCAUUAUAUUAUGCAUUAUUAGAGUGUUUUAUUCUGUUAAACACUGAAAUCCACGAAUUAAUGCUAUAUCCAUGCAUAAACUAUCGCUGAUUUAUUUCAUCUUGUUAAUUUCGUGCCAUUUAAAUGUUGUUCAGUUGUUGUCCUUAAUGGAAGUGUUACUCAAAUGUUUGUUUUUAAUUACCAUUUUACUCAGACGAAGUUAGCAUGUUUGUAAAUAGCCUACUGAAUUUUCUGGGUUAUUCUACUAAAGUAAUCUGAGUUUCAUUUAAGUUAUUUAGUUAGAUGUGGUACAAGAUUAAAUACUUUUUUAUAUCAAUGAUUUCAAAAUUGUACUUAAAAUGUAAUUUUAAUUU
Ctenopharyngodon idella (grass carp) is the source of this 1447-nucleotide long non-coding RNA. RefSeq lists it as uncharacterized. Lineage: Eukaryota; Metazoa; Chordata; Actinopteri; Cypriniformes; Xenocyprididae. The record is from RefSeq and is a predicted model, not a curated record. The transcript has 4 exons.